This 640-nucleotide ribosomal RNA is filed under the name Coriolopsis trogii. RNAcentral describes it as "eukaryotic LSU rRNA". The stretch from base 214 to 367 matches the Rfam family "5.8S ribosomal RNA". The record is from RNAcentral. Lineage: Eukaryota; Fungi; Basidiomycota; Agaricomycetes; Polyporales; Polyporaceae.
UGGUAGGCGGAGGACAUUAUCGAGUUUUGAACGGGUUGUAGCUGGCCUCUCCGGAGGCAUGUGCACGCCCUGCUCAUCCACUCUACACCUGUGCACUUACUGUGGGUAUCGGAAGGCGUCGCGUCGUUUACGGCGAGGCGUUAACCGUGCCUGCGUCUUACUACAAACGCUUCAGUAUCAGAAUGUGUAUUGCGAUGUAACGCAUCUAUAUACAACUUUCAGCAACGGAUCUCUUGGCUCUCGCAUCGAUGAAGAACGCAGCGAAAUGCGAUAAGUAAUGUGAAUUGCAGAAUUCAGUGAAUCAUCGAAUCUUUGAACGCACCUUGCGCUCCUUGGUAUUCCGAGGAGCAUGCCUGUUUGAGUGUCAUGAAAUUCUCAAACCCAUAAGUCUUUGCGGGCUUACGGGCUUUGGACUUGGAGGCUUUGUCGGCGACCGCGAGGUCUGUCGACUCCUCUCAAAUGCAUUAGCUUGAUUCCUUGCGGAUCGGCUCUCGGUGUGAUAAUUGUCUACGCCGUGACCGUGAAGCGUUUUGGCGAGCUUCUAAUCGUCUCUUACGAGACAGCUUACAUUGACCUCUGACCUCAAAUCAGGUAGGACUACCCGCUGAACUUAAGCUACAAAAACGGGGGGGAAAAAAAA